ACAAUGCCUUCAUCAAUGAGCAUGGAGAGAAGAGUCCUCCUUAGAGCUUUUGGUGCCGAACUUGUCCUUACUGAUGCUGCAAAAGGGAUGAAAGGGGCCUUAGAUAAGGCUACAGAGAUUUUAAACAAGACACCAAAUUCUUACAUGCUUCAACAGUUCGAUAACCCUGCCAACCCUCAGGUAACAACGAGAACCAGCCAUGUGGCUCUACGUAUAUGUGCACUCCUUUUCUAACCUACCUGCCUGCUGUUUGUCUUCAUUUGGUUUCAAACAGGUACAUUAUGAGACUACUGGUCCAGAGAUCUGGGAGGAUUCAAAGGGGAAGGUGGAUAUAUUCAUUGGUGGAAUUGGAACAGGGGGGACAAUAUCUGGUGCCGGCCGUUUUCUCAAGGAGAAAAAUCCUGGAAUUAAGGUUUCUUUACGUUUCGCUCAACAAAAUCUCCUCUGUUGUAUGUGCUUUGUAGUCCUUAUCAUUAUAUUUGGUCGUCUGUAUUUAGGUUAUUGGUAUUGAGCCUUCUGAAAGUAACAUACUCUCCGGUGGAAAACCUGGUAUGUUUGUGAGUAUUGCCUUUUGUACCUGUCAAACUUUUGGUUCUUUUCUUACAAGUUAUAACUGUUAUUCAUUUUUGUAGGUCCACAUAAGAUCCAGGGAAUCGGCGCAGGAUUUGUUCCAAGGAACUUGGAUAGCGAUAUUCUUGAUGAAGUAAUUGAGGUGUGAGCUUAAACCAGUGUUAUAUUUGUUGAGUAUAAUCUGACACUUUUAACACGAAAUAAUGAAAAACAGUGAAUUAUCUUGUCAAAAUCAACUUAUCUGUUUCUGUUAUUGCACUAUAUCUGCAUAUGCCAUAGAACAGCAGUUACAGAAAUGUAUUCUCCUAAGCUACAUAACUACAUUGGCAUGGUUGUUUCCUUGGGGUAGGGUAGGGUAACAAUCCUAUCCUUUUACUCUUCCUUGUACAGAAGAGUUGUGUGGACUGUUACAGGGUUAUGUUUGUUCCUAUUUAUUUAUAGUUGUUUAUACCUCACUGAUUAUGUUUCAGAUAUCAAGUGAUGAAGCUGUUGAGACAGCAAAACAGUUGGCUGUUCAGGAAGGAUUACUGGUAUCAUAAUUUUUAAUGUUGCUUCCUUUUGUAUUGUGCCUAGGACAUUGUUUUGACAUAUUGCUGUUUUUUGAGACAUGGUCCUUAAUUUGCAAACAUUCAAAUUUUUAGUGCAGGCAAGACAGGCCUGCUAAUGUCCUCUUUUUUUUCUCGCUGUGUAAUUGUGUUGCUAUUUAAGUGCAUGCACUUGCUUCUCAAAUAUGUGGAUAGAAUCAAUUUGUGGGCACCAUUUUUUAGCCUUACCUUAUGUGUUUAUUGAAAGUUAGUAUUUUCUUAGUGGUUAACUUGGACAAACCUGAUCUUUUGUUCUUAAAGGGUUCUGGUCAAUUUUCACUGUUAUAUUAAAACAAACGCAAAGUAGAACAAUUGUAAUUGGCUAGCAAGAUAUGUGACAGUAUAUGAACUUAGGAACUAACAAAACCAUAUUCAAGCAGUGUCGCGCUUGGUAGUUUUGUUUGAUCUACGGCCAAGAGCAUCAUUUUUUUUUCCUUUUGAAAUGAAACUGAGAAUUGUCAUGCCAUAUAAAAGAUGAGUGAAUAUUGUGUAGGUUGGAAUCUCCUCUGGAGCAGCCGCCGCUGCUGCCAUAAAGGUUGCCAAAAGACCAGAGAAUGCUGGAAAGCUGAUAGUGGUACGUGCAGAAAUGCCAUCUCUGCUAUUUUGCGGAUACCGUUACAUUACAUGAAGUGUGGAUGUUGAGUGCACCUAGAUUAUUAACUUAUAUUAUCAUAUUGUUUCUGUUCAGGUUGUGUUUCCGAGCUUCGGCGAGAGGUACCUUUCAUCUGUCCUCUAUCAGUCCAUAAGAGAAGAAUGUGAGAACAUGCAACCUGAGCCAUGAGGGAGCCGUCACUUUAAGCGGGCAUAGUAAAUGUUUCUGAAAUAAGACGCGUAGCCAGCAUCAGUUUGCUCCACUUGGAAUCAUUUGGCCAUGCUCACUCUAUCCUUUCGCUAGCCUCUAUGACCGGACCUAAACUGGUGUGUGAGAAACAUCCACGACUGUCCUCCCAACUGCUUUCCUAAAGCCAAACGAUAACACUCUCAAUAAUUGUCUAUACGAUUGAAGCUGAUUUGAUUGGUAAUUGUAAACAGCUUGUCUUUGGAUCUUUGAAGUCAAACAAAGUCAGUUGGUUGAAUCAGAUGGAUAUUGUAUGCCUUUUGUGUGUGUGUGUGUGUGAAAAAAAAAUCUGAGUUGUGUCAUUGACGGAUUUCCCCCCAGGUGGAGACGCAACACAUCUGAAGUCCUUUAGCAUGGACCAAAACAAAAUCUGGCGGAUACUGCUGGCUCACCAAGCGUCUGCGGUGGUCAAUUUACUGCUGUAGUCAUGUGCUCAUGGCAAAACUGCAGGAGAGAACAUACCGAUUGACGCGCCAAAAGAACGUGCAGCUGGCCCCGUCGAUCCCGUUCCCGUCCACGCGACUUGUGGUUUCGACACCUCCGCUCGCAUGUUUGCCUGUGCCACGCACGACUCCUUCGACUCUGCCUGAGCUACGCGUGGCCUCGGCAACCCCACCUGCGCCAAGCGUGACCCGGCGCCUCCGGCCUUGCUGG
Molecule: long non-coding RNA, 2646 nt
Filed under: Zea mays
Lineage: Eukaryota; Viridiplantae; Streptophyta; Magnoliopsida; Poales; Poaceae
Description: long non-coding RNA (ZMAY_LNC004661)
Source: RNAcentral